Non-coding RNA from Heterocephalus glaber (naked mole-rat), 372 nucleotides. NCBI's taxonomy places the organism in Eukaryota, Metazoa, Chordata, Mammalia, Rodentia, Bathyergidae. The record is from RefSeq and is a predicted model, not a curated record.
UUCAAGCAGUCUUGAAAAUGUGGGGCUCUGAGGUUUUACCAAGUGGACAUCGUAUUUAUGCCUUUAAACCACAAGGGGGUGGCAGUUGCAUCACGUGUUAGGAAUUACAAUCGGGACUGGCUGCUUUGUAAGAAGGACUGGGUGUGGUCUGGCUCUGUCUCGUUUGGGGAAGGAGUCCAUCAUACCGGAGAUCAGCCCAGGUCCUGCGGGAGUGCCACCGAAGUUCCUGUCUCCAGCUUUCCAAAUUGGCACCCUAGAGUCAGACUGAAAGCUUCCUGUGCUAAUGAAAUGAGCUCGGAGAAGAUAUCUUCAUAUUUGAAAAAAAAAAAAAAGACAGUUCAAGAAUGAAUAAGGGGUCCUUUUCAGUAAGGA